RNAcentral lists this ribosomal RNA (253 nucleotides) under uncultured bacterium. RNAcentral's name for it is "partial 16S ribosomal RNA". It matches the Rfam family "Bacterial small subunit ribosomal RNA", at positions 524 to 776 of the family's 1533-position model. The record is from RNAcentral.
UACAGAGGGGGCAAGCGUUGUUCGGAAUUACUGGGCGUAAAGGGCGCGUAGGCGGCCUGCUAAGUCGAACGUGAAAUCCCCGAGCUCAACUCGGGAACUGCGUCCGAUACUGGCAGGCUUGAAUCCGGGAGAGGGACGUGGAAUUCCAGGUGUAGCGGUGAAAUGCGUAGAUAUCUGGAGGAACACCGGUGGCGAAGGCGACGUCCUGGACCGGUAUUGACGCUGAGGCGCGAAAGCCAGGGGAGCAAACGGG